GGCUUGUUGAUUAUAAUUUCAAGUCUAGUCUGCCCAAUGAUUGGUUUAAAUGGCCGCAGUAUAUUGACUGUGCAAAGGUAGCAUAAUCAUUAGUUUUUUAAUUAAAAGCUUGUAUGAACGGCUUAAUGAAAAAGUUUCUGUCUCUUGGAAAAUUUAUUAGAAUUUUAUUUUUAAGUGAAAAAGCUUAAAUUUUUAUUGAAGACGAGAAGACCCUAUAGAGUUUAAUAUUGACAAGUAAUAGAAUUUUUAGUAUUAGAAAAUUUAUUUUUAUGUUUAUUUAUUUAGUUGGGGUGACGGAAAAAUUAGCUAAACUUUUUUUUUACUAAAUCAUUAAUUUUUGAGUUUUUGAUCCUUAUAUAAAGAUUAAAAGAAAAAAUUACCUUAGGGAUAACAGCGUAAUUUUUUCUAGAGUUCUUAUCGAAGAUAAAGUUUGCGACCUCGAUGUUGGAUUAAAAUUAAUUAUUGGUGUAGAAGCUAGUAGGUUAGGUCUGUUCGACCUUUUAAAUUUUACAUGAUCUGAGUUUAAACCGGUGUGAG
This 537-nucleotide ribosomal RNA is filed under the name Trigonopterus sp. 75 AR-2022a. RNAcentral describes it as "partial large subunit ribosomal RNA". It matches the Rfam family "Bacterial large subunit ribosomal RNA", at positions 1819 to 2625 of the family's 2925-position model. Lineage: Eukaryota; Metazoa; Arthropoda; Insecta; Coleoptera; Curculionidae. The record is from RNAcentral.